Molecule: small nucleolar RNA, 90 nt
Organism: Zingiber officinale
Lineage: Eukaryota; Viridiplantae; Streptophyta; Magnoliopsida; Zingiberales; Zingiberaceae
Product: small nucleolar RNA SNORD96 family
Exons: 1
Source: RefSeq, a predicted model, not a curated record
UUGCCUGUGAAGAAAUCUGAAACCAAAUACCAUCUUUCGGGGCUGAUUGGAUCAUUGUAUCCAUGCUGUCAUUCUUUUAAUCCGAGGCAU